RNAcentral lists this ribosomal RNA (585 nucleotides) under uncultured bacterium. RNAcentral describes it as "bacterial SSU rRNA". It matches the Rfam family "Bacterial small subunit ribosomal RNA", at positions 338 to 916 of the family's 1533-position model. The record is from RNAcentral.
CCUACGGGGGCAGCAGUGGGGAAUUUUGGACAAUGGGCGCAAGCCUGAUCCAGCCAUGCCGCGUGAGUGAAGAAGGCCUUCGGGUUGUAAAGCUCUUUCGGUAGGAACGAAAUGGUUCGUGCUAAUACCACGGACUGAUGACGGUACCUGAAGAAGAAGCACCGGCUAACUACGUGCCAGCAGCCGCGGUAAUACGUAGGGUGCAGGCGUUAAUCGGAAUUACUGGGCGUAAAGCGUGCGCAGGCGGUUUCUUAAGUCAGAUGUGAAAGCCCCGGGCUUAACCUGGGAACUGCGUUUGAAACUGGGAGACUAGAGUGUGGCAGAGGGGGGUGGAAUUCCACGUGUAGCAGUGAAAUGCGUAGAUAUGUGGAGGAACACCGAUGGCGAAGGCAGCCCCCUGGGUUAACACUGACGCUCAUGCACGAAAGCGUGGGGAGCAAACAGGAUUAGAUACCCUGGUAGCCCACGCCCUAAACUAUGUCAACUGGUUGUCGGGGGAUUAGCUCCCUUGGUAACGAAGCUAACGCGUGAAGUUGACCGCCUGGGGAGUACGGCCGCAAGGUUAAAACUCAAAGGAAUUGACGG